This 432-nucleotide ribosomal RNA is filed under the name uncultured bacterium. Its description in RNAcentral is "bacterial SSU rRNA". It matches the Rfam family "Bacterial small subunit ribosomal RNA", at positions 78 to 507 of the family's 1533-position model. The record is from RNAcentral.
AGCAAUCCUGGUGGCGAGUGGCGAACGGGUGAGUAAUAUAUCGGAACGUGCCCAGUCGUGGGGGAUAACGUAGCGAAAGCUACGCUAAUACCGCAUACGAUCAUGGAUGAAAGCGGGGGAUCGCAAGACCUCGCGCGAUUGGAGCGGCCGAUAUCAGAUUAGGUAGUUGGUGAGGUAAAGGCUCACCAAGCCGACGAUCUGUAGCUGGUCUGAGAGGACGACCAGCCACACUGGGACUGAGACACGGCCCAGACUCCUACGGGAGGCAGCAGUGGGGAAUUUUGGACAAUGGGCGCAAGCCUGAUCCAGCAAUGCCGCGUGCAGGAUGAAGGCCUUCGGGUUGUAAACUGCUUUUGUACGGAACGAAACGGUGAGCUCUAAUACAGUUUGCUAAUGACGGUACCGUAAGAAUAAGCACCGGCUAACUACGUG